This 492-nucleotide ribosomal RNA is filed under the name uncultured bacterium. RNAcentral describes it as "partial 16S ribosomal RNA". It matches the Rfam family "Bacterial small subunit ribosomal RNA", at positions 29 to 507 of the family's 1533-position model. The record is from RNAcentral.
AGUGAACGCUGGUGGUAGGCCUAACACAUGCAAGUCGAACGGCAGCACAGUAAGAGCUUGCUCUUACGGGUGGCGAGUGGCGGACGGGUGAGGAAUACAUCGGAAUCUACUUUUUCGUGGGGGAUAACGUAGGGAAACUUACGCUAAUACCGCAUACGACCUACGGGUGAAAGCAGGGGAUCUUCGGACCUUGCGCGAUUGAAUGAGCCGAUGUCGGAUUAGCUAGUUGGCGGGGUAAAGGCCCACCAAGGCGACGAUCCGUAGCUGGUCUGAGAGGAUGAUCAGCCACACUGGAACUGAGACACGGUCCAGACUCCUACGGGAGGCAGCAGUGGGGAAUAUUGGACAAUGGGCGCAAGCCUGAUCCAGCCAUACCGCGUGGGUGAAGAAGGCCCUCGGGUUGUAAAGCCCUUUUGUUGGGAAAGAAAAGCAGCAGGUUAAUACCCCGCUGUUCUGACGGUACCCAAAGAAUAAGCACCGGCUAACUUCGUG